Molecule: ribosomal RNA, 466 nt
Filed under: uncultured bacterium
Lineage: Bacteria
Description: partial 16S ribosomal RNA
Rfam family: Bacterial small subunit ribosomal RNA
Source: RNAcentral
GACGAACGCUGGCGGCGUGCUUAACACAUGCAAGUCGUGCGGUAAGGCCCUUUCGGGGGUACACGAGCGGCGAACGGGUGCGUAACACGUGAGCAACCUGCCCUUCACUUUGGGAUAACUGCCGGAAACGGUGGCUAAUACCGGAUAUGACUUCCUCACGCAUGUGGGGUGGUGGAAAGCCUUCGGGUGGUGGGGGAUGGGCUCGCGGUCUAUCAGCUUGUUGGUGGGGUGAUGGCCUACCAAGGCUUCGACGGGUAGCCGGCCUGAGAGGGUGACCGGCCACACUGGGACUGAGACGCGGCCCGGACUCCUACGGGAGGCAGCAGUGGGGAAUAUUGGGCGAUGGGCGAAAGCCUGAUCCAGCAACGCCGCGUGAGGGAUGACGGCCUUCGGGUUGUAAACCUCUUUGGCCUGCGACGAAGCGAGAGUGACGGUAGCAGGUAAAGAAGCACCGGCCAACUACGUG